UCUUCGUUGGUGAACCAGCGGAGGGAUCAUUACCGAGUUUACAACUCCCAAACCCAAUGUGAACAUACCUCUCGUUGCUUCGGCGGGAACGCCCCGGCUCUGCCCGGAACCAGGCGCCCGCCGGGGGACCUACAAACUCUUGUAUUCCUAGCGGAUCUCUGAGUGUGAUUUAAACAAAUCAAAUCAAAACUUUCAACAACGGAUCUCUUGGCUCUAGCAUCGAUGAAGAACGCAGC
This 236-nucleotide unclassified non-coding RNA is filed under the name uncultured fungus. RNAcentral describes it as "sequence contains ITS1, 5.8S rRNA gene". The stretch from base 188 to 236 matches the Rfam family "5.8S ribosomal RNA", at positions 1 to 49 of the family's 154-position model. Lineage: Eukaryota; Fungi. The record is from RNAcentral.